AUGUGGGGUUACCCUUCAGUGAAUUCAUAGCUGUUGUGGGGGUUUACGCGGGGAAGUGAAACAUCUCAGUACCCGUAGGAGGAGAAAAUAAUAAUGAUUCUGCUAGUAGUGGCGAACGAACGUGGAUGAGGCUAAACCGUGUGCAUGUGAUACCUGGUAGGGGUUGUGUGUGCGGUGUUGUGGGCCCCAAUUGGCGGUGACUACCAUCAUCGUGCUCGUGUGUUGUUGUUAGGUGAAGUGGUUUGGAAUGGCCUGCCGGAGAAGGUGAGAGUCCUGUAGUUGAAGACAAUGGCAUGUGGGUUGUUGGGUUGCCCGAGUAGCAGCGGGCUCGUGGAAUCUGCUGUGAAUCUGCCGGGACCACCCGGUAAGCCUAAAUACUUAGUGUGACCGAUAGUGGAUAGUACCGUGAGGGAAUGGUGAAAAGUACCCCGGGAGGGGAGUGAAAUAGUUCCUGAAACUGUGUGUCUACAAGCCGUCAGAGCCUUUUGGGUGAUGGCGUGCCUUUUGAAGAAUGAGCCUGCGAGUCAGCGGCGCGUCGCGAGGUUAACCC
This 550-nucleotide ribosomal RNA is filed under the name Anophryoides haemophila. RNAcentral describes it as "partial Bacterial large subunit ribosomal RNA". It matches the Rfam family "Bacterial large subunit ribosomal RNA", at positions 140 to 652 of the family's 2925-position model. Lineage: Eukaryota; Ciliophora; Oligohymenophorea; Philasterida; Glauconematidae. The record is from RNAcentral.